AUCCACUUCUACAUGUUAGAUAUAAUAAUAUAACAAUACUACGUAGAUUAAUACACAAUAAAAUAUCCUUUUACUCCGGUUAUAUUUAUUACUAACUCUCAAUUAAUCUAUCUUAAUUAUUUUCUAACCACUUUCUAUAUUUAUCAGCUAUUUUAUUUCUUCUUGUUAAUCUGCGAAAUCCAUGCAUGUACACUUCCUUGUAUGGUGAUUGAUUGUUCACGAGGUAAGUUGCACUUUCACUGUUUUCGUUAUUCGUUGAACUAACACAGUAAUUGGAACACUCGUAAUAAACUUCUUUUCUUUUUCCAAGUUUCCGCUAUCUGUGUCAUUCGACGAACACUGCCACGCCUCCACAGCACCGUUAUAACAUUUAGCGAUGCUGCUCUUUGCAUUAAGGCAAUUGAAGUUAAUUCGUUCGUUUAUUUUCAGCUGGUACAUGGUGUCCCGCAAGCAGGGAGCCAUAUCAUAUUUUGCAUGUAGACCUUCUUGUUUGAUGAUUACUUGUUUACAAGGUAACUUUCACUUCCCCUCUUUUAAUUAUUUAUUGAAUCGACACGUUGUAUAUUCAAACAAUAAUUGGAGUACACAUAAUAAUUUUCCCUUUUUCUUUUUAGGUUUUCGCUAUCUGUAUUAUUCGACGGACAGUGUUACACCUCCUUUUGAUUUAUCCAUAAUAUAGUUAUAACAUUUAGUAACCUUGUAUUUUGCACUGAGACAAUUGAAACUAAUUUAUUCACUUAUUUUAGGUAGCUGUCAUACAUUGUGUUCCACGAACAACGAUCCAUAACCUAUACUUGCACGUACACUUUCUUGUAUGUUGAUCACUUGUUCACAAGGUGUUCGAUAUCUGUAUUAUUCGACGAACAGCACUAUAACAUAUACUACCGCACUACGUUGCCCACUGAAAUCGCUUUAUUCAUUGCUUAUUUCGAUUAUGCGCUAGUUUUAACUUGUUUAAAUGCACCGUUCGCGGAAUCCCUUUUACUUCGAUCUUGACGUUUUGGUUCUGCAAGAUUUCUAGCACUUUGUAUGGUCCAGUAUAUUGAUCGGAGAAUUUUCCUUUACUGGGUUCUUUUAGUAAAUAUAUCGAAUCUCCUAUUUUAAAAUCUUGGGGGUUGAUUCGUCGGUCGUAAUAUUCUUUUGAUCUUAGUUUGGAUUUUAUCAAAUUUUCUCUCGCCAUUCGUUGUACGGUGUUAAUUUUAUCGAACAGAUCUUCGAGAUAUUCUGCGUAAGUUGGUUCCAUGUUCUCUUCGAUUAUUACUUCACCAGUAGGUUCUCUGGCUAGAUGUCCAAAAACUAAUUCGUGCGGGGAGAAUUUCGUUCCUUCGUGUACAGAGGUAUUAUAGGAAAACAUAGCUAAUUCUACCCAUUCGUCCCAAUUUUUGGAAUUUUCAAU
This is a long non-coding RNA of Bombus huntii, 1396 nucleotides long. RefSeq lists it as uncharacterized. NCBI's taxonomy places the organism in Eukaryota, Metazoa, Arthropoda, Insecta, Hymenoptera, Apidae. The transcript has 3 exons. The record is from RefSeq and is a predicted model, not a curated record.